Molecule: long non-coding RNA, 1494 nt
Organism: Micropterus salmoides (largemouth bass)
Lineage: Eukaryota; Metazoa; Chordata; Actinopteri; Centrarchiformes; Centrarchidae
Exons: 2
Source: RefSeq, a predicted model, not a curated record
GACCCUUUGCAAAGAAUAAAACCCUUAAAAGACGUCUGGAUUGGACUCUUUAUUUCAGAAGACAAACUAAAGGACAAAUUUCCAUUACAUUUGGUGUCAGAAGUGGGAUGGUUUGGCAAAGUUUGUCUGGGACCUGAGACGGCCGGCGACUGAUCAGCCUGGAGUAAAGUGUCUCAGCCUCCACCUCGCUGACUUAAGAGACGGGAGGGUCGACCGUCCGCGCCCCGGACCGUUGCCACUACCAUCUCAAAAAAGAGUUGGACCUACGUUGUCCUUAAAAACGCAGGUUAAAGAGGCCCUACCCUCUCCAGCGACAGAACCACUGCACAGUCUCCUAGAGUCUCCUUUUGUGGUGGUUAAGGACUUCAGAAGAAAGCACUGGAAAGCGCAGAGGUGGAAAGCUGCUCCUGACAACAUACACAGCGGUAAAAGUGGCUGAAAGAGCUACGUGGAUUCACGCCAGCCACUGCAGGAAGGAGCCUGCACCAGUACAACAAUAGAUCAACAAGCGUGCACAAUCAGCACCUCGUGUUGUGAGUGAAGGAGGGAUUGGGAACGCUUAGGCUCCCUUUGUCUCGGACUCACAGGCUGUUAGACAGCAAACAUCAGCACAAGGGAGCUAGUGGGAAAACUCCUGGUCUCACCACUGCUGAUUUAAGUGACGCCGCAAAAAAUGAAGAGUGGGUAGCAUGGUUGUCUCUGGAAGGAGACGUCAUGGGACCCAGUCAGACACCCAGACAUGUGUGGCCUACGAGGAGCAACAGAGAUGUUUGCUGCCAUUGCAACAGCAUGAACAGUGCCUCUGUUGCAGUUCUUAGAUCACAAGCGUGAUGCACAAAAGCCACCACGACAGAACACCACAGUGAACUACAGGCAUUGACAUCAAAUAGCAGUGUUGGAGGCAAGAGAAGCACCCAAAGAGGCUGGGAUGCUGGGCUAAUGUUUAAUAACUCCUGCUGUAUGUUUGUGCCCAACAAUACAGCUCCAGAUGGUUCGGUGAACUGAGUGCUGGAAGGACUGCGUUCCCUACGAGAAGAACUUGCAGAGAACUCUGAAGUGGACACUAACAUGUUCGACCGGUCAGAUUCUGUGUUUGCUAAAUAAAAGGCCUUAGUGAUGCCCACACUAGCAGGUCUAAUGAUUGCUGUAGCUCUCUGUGGAUGUUGCAUCAUUCCAUGUGCCAGAGGUCUGAUUGUAGGAGCUAUUGAGAAAAGUGUCUCCAUUCAAAUGAUCACACUCGUCUGGAUUGGAAUCUUUUUCAUUCAUCUCACAUUUCAGAAGACUCACUAAAGGACAAAUUUCCAUUACACCAGUCAUGUAAGGAUUUCCAUAAACUUUAGUCACAAACAUAAAAAAUGUGCUCUGUUGUUUCUACAUUUGUGUUGCAUAGGUGACAGUUUUCUACAUCACAUUUCAAUCUUAGAAUUUUAAACUGCAUUUCUUUGUUUUUAGGAAGAAGUGGAAAUUAAAGAUAUUUUGUUCUAAUAGCUGAUA